AACGAACGCUGGCGGCAUGCCUAACACAUGCAAGUCGAACGAGACCUUCGGGUCUAGUGGCGCACGGGUGCGUAACGCGUGGGAACCUGCCUUUAGGUUCGGAAUAACUCAGAGAAAUUUGAGCUAAUACCGGAUAAUGUCUUCGGACCAAAGAUUUAUCGCCUUUAGAUGGGCCCGCGUUGGAUUAGCUAGUUGGUGGGGUAAAGGCCUACCAAGGCGACGAUCCAUAGCUGGUCUGAGAGGAUGAUCAGCCACACUGGGACUGAGACACGGCCCAGACUCCUACGGGAGGCAGCAGUGGGGAAUAUUGGACAAUGGGCGAAAGCCUGAUCCAGCAAUGCCGCGUGAGUGAUGAAGGCCUUAGGGUUGUAAAGCUCUUUUACCCGAGAUGAUAAUGACAGUAUCGGGAGAAUAAGCUCCGGCUAACUCCGUGCCAGCAGCGCGGUAAAGUGACU
RNAcentral lists this ribosomal RNA (455 nucleotides) under uncultured bacterium. RNAcentral describes it as "bacterial SSU rRNA". It matches the Rfam family "Bacterial small subunit ribosomal RNA", at positions 29 to 530 of the family's 1533-position model. The record is from RNAcentral.